UCAAGCGAACAAGUGCAUGUGGUGGAUGCCUUGGCGAUCACAGGCGAUGAAGGACGCGGUAGCCUGCGAAAAGCUUCGGGGAGCUGGCAAACGAGCUUUGAUCCGGAGAUGUCCGAAUGGGGAAACCCGGCCCGUAUGGGUCAUCCCUUGCUGAAUACAUAGGCAAGGGAAGCGAACGCGGCGAACUGAAACAUCUAAGUAGCUGCAGGAACAGAAAUCAACCGAGAUUCCCAAAGUAGUGGCGAACGAAAUGGGAAGAGCCUUGUACUCUUUAGCAGUGGUGUUAGCAGAACGGGAUGGAAAGCCCGGCCAUAGCAGGUGAUAGCCCUGUAUGCGAAAACACGAUUGUGGAACUAGGUGUACGACAAGUAGGGCGGGACACGUGAAAUCCUGUCUGAAGAUGGGGGGACCAUCCUCCAAGGCUAAAUACUCGUGAUCGACCGAUAGUGAACCAGUACCGUGAGGGAAAGGCGAAAAGAACCCCGGGAGGGGAGUGAAAUAGAUCCUGAAACCGCAUGCAUACAAACAGUCGGAGCCCUUUCGGGGGUGACGGCGUACCUUUUGUAUAAUGGGUCAGCGACUUACAUUCAGUGGCAAGCUUAACCGAUUAGGGAAGGCGUAGCGAAAGCGAGUCCGAACAGGGCGUUGAGUCGCUGGGUGUAGACCCGAAACCAGAUGAUCUAUCCAUGGCCAGGUUGAAGGUGCGGUAACACGUACUGGAGGACCGAACCCACUAACGUUGAAAAGUUAGGGGAUGAGCUGUGGAUAGGGGUGAAAGGCUAAACAAAUCUGGAAAUAGCUGGUUCUCUCCGAAAACUAUUUAGGUAGUGCCUCGUGUCUCACCUUCGGGGGUAGAGCACUGUCAUGGUUGGGGGGUCUAUUGCUGAUUACCCCGCCAUAGCAAACUCCGAAUACCGAAGAGUGCAAUCACGGGAGACAGACAUCGGGUGCUAACGUCCGGUGUCAAGAGGGAAACAACCCAGACCGCCAGCUAAGGUCCCCAAAUAUGGCUAAGUGGGAAACGAAGUGGGAAGGCUAAAACAGUCAGGAGGUUGGCUUAGAAGCAGCCACCCUUUAAAGAAAGCGUAAUAGCUCACUGAUCGAGUCGUCCUGCGCGGAAGAUGUAACGGGGCUAAGCCAUAUACCGAAGCUGCGGACGCGUGCGUUCCUUUAAGUGCACCAAGCUUGUCGAUGCGCAGCAUCGACAAAGCCACCAACAAUGAUCGAUGGUGGUUGUGCUAGUGGAUUUAAAGGAGCGCACGCGUGGUAGGAGAGCGUUCUGUAAGCCUGUGAAGGUGUCUUGUAAAGGAUGCUGGAGGUAUCAGAAGUGCGAAUGCUGACAUGAGUAGCGAUAAAGGGGGUGAAAGGCCCCCUCGCCGUAAGCCCAAGGUUUCCUACGCAACGUUCAUCGGCGUAGGGUGAGUCGGCCCCUAAGGCGAGGCAGAGAUGCGUAGCUGAUGGGAAGCAGGUUAAUAUUCCUGCACCGUCGUAUGAUGCGAUGGGGGGACGGAUCGCGGAAGGUUGUCCGGGUGUUGGAAGUCCCGGUCCCUGCAUUGGAGAAGGCGCUUAGGCAAAUCCGGGCGCGGAAUUCAAGGAUGUGGGGCGAGCGGCCUAGUGCUGCGAAGCAAUUGGAAGUGGUUCCAAGAAAAGCCUCUAAGCUUCAGUCAUACGAGACCGUACCGCAAACCGACACAGGUGGGCGAGAUGAGUAUUCUAAGGCGCUUGAGAGAACUCGGGAGAAGGAACUCGGCAAAUUGGUACCGUAACUUCGGGAUAAGGUACGCCCUGGUAGCUUGACUGGCCUGCGCCAGAAGGGUGAAGGGGUUGCAAUAAAAUGGUGGCUGCGACUGUUUAAUAAAAACACAGCACUCUGCAAACACGAAAGUGGACGUAUAGGGUGUGACGCCUGCCCGGUGCCGGAAGAUUAAAUGAUGGGGUGCAAGCUCUUGAUUGAAGUCCCGGUAAACGGCGGCCGUAACUAUAACGGUCCUAAGGUAGCGAAAUUCCUUGUCGGGUAAGUUCCGACCUGCACGAAUGGCGUAACGAUGGCCACACUGUCUCCUCCCGAGACUCAGCGAAGUUGAAGUGUUUGUGAUGAUGCAAUCUCCCCGCGGCUAGACGGAAAGACCCCAUGAACCUUUACUGUAGCUUUGCAUUGGACUUUGAACCGAUCUGUGUAGGAUAGGUGGGAGGCUUUGAAGCGUGGACGCCAGUUCACGUGGAGCCGUCCUUGAAAUACCACCCUGGUUUGUUUGAGGUUCUAACCUUGGCCCGUGAAUCCGGGUCGGGGACAGUGCAUGGUAGGCAGUUUGACUGGGGCGGUCUCCUCCCAAAGUGUAACGGAGGAGUUCGAAGGUACGCUUGGUACGGUCGGACAUCGUACCUAAAGUGCAAUGGCAAAAGCGUGCUUAACUGCGAGACCGACAAGUCGAGCAGGUGCGAAAGCAGGACAUAGUGAUCCGGUGGUUCUGAAUGGAAGGGCCAUCGCUCAACGGAUAAAAGGUACUCUGGGGAUAACAGGCUGAUACCGCCCAAGAGUUCAUAUCGACGGCGGUGUUUGGCACCUCGAUGUCGGCUCAUCUCAUCCUGGGGCUGUAGCCGGUCCCAAGGGUAUGGCUGUUCGCCAUUUAAAGAGGUACGUGAGCUGGGUUUAAAACGUCGUGAGACAGUUUGGUCCCUAUCUGCCGUGGGCGUUGGAAUCUUGACGGGGGCUGCUCCUAGUACGAGAGGACCGGAGUGGACGUACCGCUGGUGUACCUGUUGUCUCGCCAGAGGCAUCGCAGGGUAGCUAUGUACGGAAGAGAUAACCGCUGAAAGCAUCUAAGCGGGAAACUCGCCUGAAGAUGAGGAUUCCCUGGAGGCUUGACCUCCUUGAAGGGUCGUUCGAGACCAGGACGUUGAUAGGCUGGGUGUGGAAGCGCAGUAAUGCGUUAAGCUAACCAGUACUAAUUGCCCGUAAGGCUUGAUCCU
RNAcentral lists this ribosomal RNA (2970 nucleotides) under Cupriavidus taiwanensis. Its description in RNAcentral is "bacterial LSU rRNA". It matches the Rfam family "Bacterial large subunit ribosomal RNA". Lineage: Bacteria; Pseudomonadati; Pseudomonadota; Betaproteobacteria; Burkholderiales; Burkholderiaceae. The record is from RNAcentral.